GCUGGAUUGCUGAUUGUCGUCCUUGUCGCUUGAAGACGGUGAGGACUUGGGAGAGCUGGAGUCAACGAGGCAGAAAACACGGCAGUCGCGCCCCACGGCAUCGUCGGGGAAGUUGAAGUGGUGAUUGCUCUGGCGCAGGGGACUGAGUUGUGAGAGAGAGAGACUUGGGCCUCUUCAUGGGCCUAUUGGGCAUGGGAUCCGGCGACUGUGAAAUGGAGGAAGGCUUGGGCCUUGUUUUUGUUUUUUUUUUGUACAAAGAAUAUUGUUUAUAUUUGUAAUAAAAUUGGCUCUCAAUAGUCAAACAUUUAAUAAAACCUUAUUUUUUAUUUUGAUGUGACUGAACUCGAAAUUCAAUGUUCGAGCUGCCUACGUACCCCUCCAAAGAAGAGAUCAAGUCAUAACGUAGUUCAAAUACAUUUUUUUUCUUGGUAUUUUCUUUUGGUGCCGUUUGCAGUUUCAACUCGUGCAGGCAAGGAACAGUUGGUGUCUCCUUUUAUGCUCGUGCAAACCAGAAGCUUAGUGCCAUGCAGUUUAGGCUCGUGUAGGCGAGGAGCCUUGGUGUCGCCUUUUAUGCUUGUGCGAACCAGGAGCUUUGGUGUCCUUCAAUUUAGGCUCUUGCGAACAAGGAGCAUUGGUGUUGCCUUUUAUGCUCGUGCAGACCAAGAGCUUUGUGUCAUGCAGUUUAGACUCAUGUGGGCGAGGAGAAUUUUGGUGCCAUUUGCAGUUUCAACUCGUGCAGGCAAGGAGCGUUUGUUGUCGCCUUUUAUGCUCGUGCAGACCAGGAGCGUUUGGUGGUUGGUCAAUCGAUCCGGGAGAGUUGUUCCUCAUAAUCUUCAUAGCAAGGAGCCUUGACUGAGUAGUUGAAGAAGUCUUCUGGGAAGAGGUCAUGCAUUGUGAUGGGGAUGGAUGAUCUUCGUGUCAAAGUUUCAUUAUCUCCAACACUUUCACAUUGUUCUGGAGAUUGAUAGGAGCUGCUUUGCCCCCUUUCCCAUUGGUGAACUUGUGGAAGAGAUGGUUGCUGCCUGGAGAGGUGUUCUUCGCAAUCUUUAUAGCAAGAAGCCUUGACCGAGUAGCUGCAUAAUUUUCUGAGGAAGAAGAAAUCGCGCAUGGUCAAUGUUUGUGUCAAAAUUUCCUC
This 1135-nucleotide long non-coding RNA is filed under the name Malus domestica (apple). RNAcentral's name for it is "long non-coding RNA (MDOM_LNC012299)". The record is from RNAcentral. Lineage: Eukaryota; Viridiplantae; Streptophyta; Magnoliopsida; Rosales; Rosaceae.